GAUGAAGAACGUAGCGAAAUGCGAUACGUAAUGUGAAUUGCAGAAUUCAGUGAAUCAUCGAGUGUUUGAACGCACAUUGCGCCCUCUGGUAUUCCGGAGGGCAUGCCUGUCCGAGCGUCAUUGCUGCCCUCAAGCACGGCUUGUGUGUUGGGCCCCGCCCCCCGAUCCCGGGGGGCGGGCCCGAAAGGCAGCGGCGGCACCGCGUCCGGUCCUCGAGCGUAUGGGGCUUUGUCACCCGCUCUGUAGGCCCGGCCGGCGCCUGCCGAUCAACCAAACUUUUUUCCAGGUUGACCUCGGAUCAGGUAGGGAUACCCGCUGAACUUAAGCAUAUCAAUAAGCGGAGGA
This 345-nucleotide unclassified non-coding RNA is filed under the name soil metagenome. RNAcentral's name for it is "partial contains 5.8S ribosomal RNA, internal transcribed spacer 2, and large subunit ribosomal RNA". The stretch from base 1 to 120 matches the Rfam family "5.8S ribosomal RNA", at positions 35 to 154 of the family's 154-position model. The record is from RNAcentral.